UACGUAGGGUGCAAGCGUUGUCCGGAAUUAUUGGGCGUAAAGAGCUCGUAGGCGGUCUGUCGCGUCGGCUGUGAAAACCCGAGGCUCAACCUCGGGCCUGCAGUCGAUACGGGCAAACUAGAGUACAGAAGGGGCAACUGGAAUUCUCGGUGUAGCGGUGAAAUGCGUAGAUAUCGAGAGGAACACCUGCGGCGAAGGCGGGUUGCUGGGCUGAUACUGACGCUGAGGCGCGAAAGCCAGGGGAGCGAACGGG
This 253-nucleotide ribosomal RNA is filed under the name uncultured bacterium. Its description in RNAcentral is "partial 16S ribosomal RNA". It matches the Rfam family "Bacterial small subunit ribosomal RNA", at positions 524 to 776 of the family's 1533-position model. The record is from RNAcentral.